ACUGUCUGAGUGCAGAGAUGUUCUUUACAAUCCCAAUACAGUACAGAUUUCUUCCCCAAAACGAAAUGAGCAAGGAAAAACAGAAAAAGAGCUAUAUCAAAUGUGCUCAUGAAGAACCAAGCCAAUCUCACCUUUCUUUAAAAACAAAACAAAACGAUCCUUUUGAAUGUGUGGUGCAGACGCAGGACUGAAGCCACAGGCUUUUGGGGUGCUGUGAGCCCAGGGCUUUGCUCAGCUCACAGCUAGCGCGGCGGGCAGAGCAACCCUUCGGCCCAAGCCAUCCUCGCAGCUUACACAGAAGCUUCCUGAACCUAAGGGAUCCGUUCCCAGCUCUCCUUAAAUUCCCAGUCCCCACCCUGGGCCUCUCUCCCUAACGAUCUUGUCGCUUUGGGAGCCCCUGAAGUGAACCCUGAAAUACUCCCUCCGUCAACUCUGGGCUCAGACCUUUGCCCUUCUCUGUGUCACAAGGAAAUUUCGGUCAAGAGGGUGGGAACAGGUGGUUUCAGACCGUGCAGCAAAGCCACUGCCAGGUAAGUUUUAAGGCAAAUUUUAUCUCUUCUUAUUCAGUCUGAGCCGGACCUAACCUUCUCACCACCGAGCAAUCC
Molecule: long non-coding RNA, 605 nt
Filed under: Homo sapiens (human)
Lineage: Eukaryota; Metazoa; Chordata; Mammalia; Primates; Hominidae
Description: non-protein coding lnc-KLHL36-5:1
Source: RNAcentral